Molecule: ribosomal RNA, 220 nt
Filed under: uncultured Glomus
Lineage: Eukaryota; Fungi; Glomeromycota; Glomeromycetes; Glomerales; Glomeraceae
Description: partial small subunit ribosomal RNA
Rfam family: Eukaryotic small subunit ribosomal RNA
Source: RNAcentral
CCAAUAGCGUAUAUUAAAGUUGUUGCAGUUAAAAAGCUCGUAGUUGAAUUUCGAGACUGGUUUACUGGUCGUGCUUUUGUACGUACUGGUAUUAUUGGUUUCUCCUUUCUGACGAAUCAUAAUGCCAUUAAUUUGGUGUUUUGGGGAAUCAGGACUGUUACUUUGAAAAAAUUAGAGUGUUUAAAGCAGGCUCACGCUUGAAUACAUUAGCAUGGAAUAA